GCUUAGUGUCUUAGCAGGCGAUUCUUCCACGGCACUCGAAGCGUGUCGUGGUAUUUCGCGUAUUGUAAUUUCAACACGAGCGGGGUCAAAUCCUUUGCAGACGACUUAGCUGUGCGAAACGGUCCUGUAAGCAGUAGAGUAGCCUUGUUGUUACGAUCUGCUGAGGGUAAGCCGUCCUUCGCCUCGAUUU
RNAcentral lists this ribosomal RNA (190 nucleotides) under Fusarium proliferatum. RNAcentral describes it as "partial 28S ribosomal RNA". It matches the Rfam family "Eukaryotic large subunit ribosomal RNA", at positions 3211 to 3399 of the family's 3401-position model. The record is from RNAcentral. Lineage: Eukaryota; Fungi; Ascomycota; Sordariomycetes; Hypocreales; Nectriaceae.